GCCUAGGUGGCCGAACUCGGUUAAGGCGCCAGUCUGCUAAGCUGGUGGUCGUAAGACCGUGUGGGUUCAAAUCCCACCCUAGGCG
Molecule: transfer RNA, 85 nt
Filed under: bacterium
Lineage: Bacteria
Description: tRNA-Ser
Rfam family: tRNA
About the family: Transfer RNA (tRNA) molecules are approximately 80 nucleotides in length. Their secondary structure includes four short double-helical elements and three loops (D, anti-codon, and T loops).
Source: RNAcentral